GUCCACGCCCUAAACUAUGUCAACUGGUUGUCGGGGAAGCAAUUCCUUGGUAACGAAGCUAACGCGUGAAGUUGACCGCCUGGGGAGUACGGCCGCAAGGUUAAAACUCAAAGGAAUUGACGGGGACCCGCACAAGCGGUGGAUUAUGUGGAUUAAUUCGAUGCAACGCGAAAACCUUACCUACCCUUGACAUGUACGGAAUCCCCCAGAGAUGGGGGAGUGCCCGAAAGGGAACCGUAACACAGGUGCUGCAUGGCUGUCGU
Molecule: ribosomal RNA, 263 nt
Filed under: uncultured bacterium
Lineage: Bacteria
Description: partial 16S ribosomal RNA
Rfam family: Bacterial small subunit ribosomal RNA
Source: RNAcentral